Molecule: long non-coding RNA, 561 nt
Organism: Drosophila kikkawai
Lineage: Eukaryota; Metazoa; Arthropoda; Insecta; Diptera; Drosophilidae
Source: RefSeq, a predicted model, not a curated record
GUCGACCAGUCUGGGUGGUUUUCUGCGAAACAGUCGCCGCCAAUUUCUGAGGUUACUUCUCGAGAUACAUCUCCACCAUCUCCACUAGAGCCCAUACGCACCGCGUCUGUCCCGUACUUUCCCACAAAAUGGGUGGCGUUAGUCAACGAGUUCAACUUGAGACCCAUGGCCACACGUAAUUCCACUUUCGCAUAUCCACCUGUGGGUGGAGACUGAAAGGUUAAAUACUACAGGCAACAAACUCAGAAAUCGCUUUAUCAAUGGCAACCUUGCCACCACUAUUUUUGUCGUAUGUUCUUUCCAUAUAAGACAAAACGCUGCCAAUGGAUUUCGGUAUAUCUGAUAAUUUGAUAUCCGGAUGCAGUCCACGAAGGUAGUCAUUAAGCUGCUCCUUCUGUUUUGGCUGCUGAUUGCCGGAUAGCAAGGCCGACACUGCCGCAUCAAUCUCCUUUCUUUUUUUGUCUGCUGCUGCUCUUGCGGCUGCUGUUCAUGCGGCUGAUGCUGCUGCUCCUGCGGCUGCAAUAUCGCCAAAAAGGCCCUCUGCAGAUUUCGGCGCUCACC